Long non-coding RNA from Mesocricetus auratus (golden hamster), 12458 nucleotides. RefSeq lists it as uncharacterized. Lineage: Eukaryota; Metazoa; Chordata; Mammalia; Rodentia; Cricetidae. The transcript has 9 exons. The record is from RefSeq and is a predicted model, not a curated record.
AUGUCUUUGACUGUGCCAUUUUUUUCCAUAUUCUCUUUUUUUUUCUCUUUUUUGUUUUAGAAAAUCGCUACAUCUCUUGUAGCCACAUUGGUUCCAAUUGCAGCAAUAUACCACAUUUUUUUCUACCUUUCUCAUUGCAGUUUUACAAAUACUCACCUCAACUUUCUUAUCCACCCUUUUCUAGAAAUUGCCAAACUAUUGUCACCAUUUUACUCUUUCAGUUAUAAGUUUUAAUAAUUCCCAUGUCAGUGGUCAUAUCCUCUUCUUAUUUUUCUGUCUGUCAUUUAUUCACAGGCUUAUAUUUAUAUCUGUGUUUUUUUGUUUAAAGUAAGUCUUCUUAGUGCAUAAAUAGGAUUUGUCAUUGUGUUUUUACCCACUACUUGUAAAGUAUCCCAUCAUAAUAGUAGUGUAUAGCUAGUCAUUUGCAUAAAAGGACAAUAGUAUUAUAUUGGCAUUUCCCAACAUAAGACAUCCAAAGUCCCAAACAGUAAAUGAAUUAUUUCUAUCCUUAGUAUAUUUUUAUAUUUAUGUUUUGCAUUAGUAUUGUAAUUCAUUAUUGAUCAUUGGGCUCUUCUAAAUUUCAAGUCGCAUAUUGCCUUAACCUGUUGAGUGUCAAUCAUACAAGUUGACAAAGCAAAACAAAAACUACCAAGAGACACUUUUUACAGCACACAUUCCACAAACAGCUCAUGCUGCUCAAAAUCAAAACAAAGCUCUUAUGAACCAACACAUCCGCUACUGUGUGAAACUACAGGGAAAAGUGCCCUCUGUCCAAGAGACACCUACACAUCCACAUGGACUGUAACAUUAAUCGUGACUCCCUACGACCCUAUACCCAUGCAUGUUGAGAAUGCCUGAGUCUACUUUUAUAUGGAGCCAUCCCUUACUCCUUCUUCUCUCAUUAAGAACAGUAUAUGCAGAAUACCUUACAGCCACAGUUUUUAUUCUUAGCCUUUGGACAUAAUUAAAUUUGCUUGUUUUAUUAAUACAUAAAUUAUAUUACUUAGUUACAGAUUAGAUAGAUCACUCUCUAAAUCAACGUUGAAAACCACAGUUGUUAUCUGCUUGUAAAAAUCAUUUAUCCUCUUUUUGUUUGCUCCCUCUCAAUGGGCUUGUGUAAGCUGGCAGCAGAAUCCUCUGUGUUUAUUAAGUGAAUCAAGGUAAGUUUGUGUGACACCCAUAGGUCUUGUCUGUGUUUUGGUAGGCAUCAGUUUAUUUUCACAAAGCAUGAAAUAUGAUCCUACAGGUCGAUUUUCACAUUGCCACUUGGCAUGAAGUUGGCUUGUAUACUAAGCAUAUAUGAUGUCUGAGCAUGGUUAACAGCAUAUGUGUAUAUGUUUAUAUGAGCAUAAAUAUGUCAGAGAGCUGUGCUGUUGUGGGAUGUCUGUGUAUCAUAGAGAUUGCUAGAGAAGAGUUGAGAACAAACCUUUUCUUGGACCAAUGAUGACAGUUACCAAGGUAUGACAAAGAUGACAAAUGAUACCUGUCUGAAACUCUAAGGUCCAACAUGAAAGAUAAGUAGAUAAGCAAGGAUCCUUGAAGGAGAGUGCCAUUUUUUAUCUUGUGCUCUCUUCUUUACUCCUCAGAAUGGGUACUCCUGACAUGGCUUCUGCAUUAUUUGUGGUCACCAGUACAACAUUUGUAUCCCUGCAUUGCACUUGGGCCAAUGAUGGACCAUGUAAUUAGAGGAUCCACUAAGGGUCAAGGGCUCCAUUUGCACCCUGCUGAGGAGGAGAACAAGACCAGUAAUGAACUCUUCCAAGGGCAUCUGUUCAUCUUCAAUGGCUUCCUGAUCAUCAUUUGCUUGGGAUGGUUUGAUAUCUGGUCAACGUUAUUGUCAUGGCUUUGAUGGUUUGUGGAAGGUUAGUCACUGUGUUACUAAGAUGUGAAAUACAUUCACACUAGCUCAAAUGUAAUAAAGAACAUACAUGGAAUUAGUAUAAAAUAGUAUAUCAGAUUAUGCUUCUGUGUUAAAAUGAGGGUACUUUUUGAAGGAGACACAUUUAUGUUUACCAUGAUAAAAUGAAUGAAGAAAAACAGAACCAGUCUUGAAUUGAUGAUGACAAUGAUGGCAUAUAUGAGUUAUAUACAUAAUGACUGUGCCUCUGAGGUUCAUCAUAAAGUUUAGUUGUCAACAGUAGAGGUGGGGUUGACUUCUAGCCUUAUGAAUAUGCAUUUCCUGAUGUUCUUACAACUGGAUCAGUGUAAGAAUCAAUAAAUAUACAAAUAAAAAUAAGUAAGUAUGGUCCAAUUAUAAAAUACAUGAUAAAUAAGAAAUACUUUUUAGAUCAAAUAGGAAUCCUACACAUCUUCUUGAGAAAGUGGUGAAAGUUACAAUAUAAAGCAUAACUUUAUGUAUGCCCAAAUGAUUGUUAGGCUUGCCAUUAUUUAAUUAAGUGCUAAUUAAAUAGAUAUCCUUCUCUUAUAACUGAUUACCUAAGACUGAGUAGGUUAAGGUCAACAGUGAAAAACAGCAUCUUAAUUUUGUCUUUCCCUCUUCUGCUUUGCAUUCCUCACAACUUUGCUGACUUGAGGAUACCUCUAUGGCUGAGAGCUCUGAUGACGUCAUAGGUGUAGCUGGGCAGACUGCUGUGAGUAACGGCCAGGAUUCUUUCUUCAGGUUUGGUGAUUUGCUUAGUAGAACUCAAUGUGUGCCUGAAAAAGCACCAAGGAUAGCCAGUUCAUACCAGCCAGAGCAUCAGAAGUGAAUGGAAGUUGUCACCUACUUAUGAAACACUGAAGAUAAGUAAUUAAGCUUAGAACAAUUCCACACAGAUUAGGAAGGAGAAAGAUUUUAUAGGGUUGUUUGAAUAAUAGAUACUCAAUUAUUAUUAUUAUUAAUUUAUUAUUGAACUAAUUCACAAACAAUAAAGGAGUAGUGAUUGCAAAAAGAAAGAAGCAAUCAUGAUUGAUAAUGAUCACUGGUGGCACAUGAGUCACACAGAUGACUAUAUUUCUGGAACCCUGAGAUCUACUAAAGGAGAAAAAUAAUCUAUUCCCUUCAAUUCAAGUGCUUCCUUUAGGACUGUAGAAUAUAUUCAUUUUCUCUGACGUUAUAAAUUUCAUUCUGUUUUUAUAAUUGUAUCAGUGUGAGAGUAAACCAGUCCUAUAAAUAAGUAGAAAUAAAAAUCAUUGACUGAUUCUCAAAUAUUAGUUCCAAGAAAUAGAUCAGAAUACAUGAUGCCACCUUUAAAAAUAUUUUUAACUAAUGAUAACAUUAACAAUAAAAAAUUACAGACAAUGCCCACAUUCAGAGCAAGUUUGAAAAUUUCAUCUUUUUCAGAGAAAGAGAUUAAAUGUGUUGCUAAAAUGGUUGCCCAAAUGGCCAAUGGAAGGUGAAAACUACAGGUCAUUACUAGGAAAGUUAAAAAAAACAGUUAAUUUUGUUAUUUUCUCUGUUCAGUAGUCCCCAGAACAGACAUACUGUGUGAUUGGAGCAUCUUCCAUAACAGGAGGCACUGUCUGCACUGCACUGAGGAAUGUGAGCCAUCAUGAGUGAGACUCCAGUGUGAGCUUGUUUUGAAUGACUUGCUUAAGAAAAUACAAUUGUAGUGGCACAUGCCUUUAACACCAGCAUUCCAGAGGCAGAGACUAGUGGGUUUUUGAGUUCAAGGCCAGCCUGGUCUAUAAAGUCAAUUCUAAGACAGACAGACCUACACAGAAAAACUCUAUCUUGAUACUACCCUCCCCACAAGAGAGCAUUCAAUACAUUAUUUAAAAGUACAUGAUUAGUGAUGACCAACUGUAUCCCACUGAUUGAUCAGGGAUGGAUAUUAAGUAUUCUAUUUAUUAUACAUUCAUGAAUACCUGAAUAAAUUACUAUUAAUAUAUGAAUUUUCUCAAUACCGAUUAGGAAUGUCACAUAUGUUCUUGUCAUUUAUGAAUCACAGAACUUAACAUUUAUCAAUGGGCAAGGUAUAAAUCAAUGAAAUAGAUGGUCAACCUUGGAUCAAUGUUGACUUCUGGUAAAAUAUGAGUUAGUGUGUUGAAUGCAUUUAUGCAUUCUGAGGUCCAUUACAAAGGUUCCAUAGCCCAUUGUCUGUGUUUGAAAUGGUUAUAUAUCUAGAUAGUAGGAAUAUGCAAUGUAGGUCUUUGUGGUCUUUAUAUGUAUAUAUUUUCAUGAUUGGUCAAUGUGGGUAUGAAUAUGUACAUAUAUAAACAAAAACAAUGAAUAUAGUUAGGUAUUGUCUAAUCCUAAAACUACAUGUUAAGUUUGGGGAAUUGUUAAUAUACUAUGAAAUUAGCAAAAUUCAAAGAGAGAGUCACUACCCUUACCUCUGUGGCUAAUAAUAUAUAGAUAGUAUGAUUAAGAGAGUAUUCAAAUUAUUGCAGUAGCUAGUUUGAAAUUAUUUAUCUUCUUAAAAAAUAAAUGACUCCAAGUAUUGAUUGAGUCAAUAAGUUGCAAACAAGGAUGAAUAGUGAGGAUAUCUUAAUUUUGUCAUAUUCUGUGUGCUGUAUGUCUCAGAGGGAAGGAACUAUGUGACAUGAUGGGAGCAUCCCCCAUGGUCAAGAGCUCUGUACUUCCCUGAGAAGAUGUUCAUGCUGCAUGUGAGCUGAAGCCAAUAUUAUUUUCCUGGUUUUGGUAGUUUGCUUAAGAUAAUCACUGUAUUAUUACAAAGUGUGUGAUAUACUCAACAGUGGCCAACAUUAUGCCAGUGGCCAGUAGGGAUUAAUGCAAAGUAGUCUAAUGAUAAAGCAGACAGGAAGCAUGGAAGGUAAUUGACAAAAUAGUCACGCAAGUGUUGCAGUACCUCCUUAUGGAAGUUAUGGGUAGAAGGGUUCUUCUCCAUCUUGUGCAAUUCAUAGAGAUGGCAUUGGUAAUGAGAUGAUGGCUUACCUAACAGAUAGGAGAUGAACAGAGAAACACAGGCCAUUGUGGUGUGGGACUCAUGGAUGAACACACAUGUGGAAUUCUCAGAUCCAUCCCCAGAGGUUAGCAGUGAAUUCUUUGCUCUAAAUUAUCCUCUUGAUAAGUGUCAGGAAUUAGAACACAUUACAUUUUAUAGUUUGCAUUUAUGCAUUUUUAUUCCAGUCUUUAUGAUUGAGCCAGUGUGAGAAGUAAUAAACCAAUUAUGCAAUGUCAAAAUUUAAAAUAUAUCCUGAAGCGAAAGUGCCAUUAGUGGAUUCUGAAGUAUGUGCUGGCACAUCUUCCACCUCUGUGGCUAUGUUGACAUCAACAAUAUAAAUUAUAGAAGUUUUCUACUUCUGGGCCAAAGGGCAGUUCAAAAUAAUUCAUUUUUCUUUCUAUAGAAAAUGAAAUAACUGCACUCUCAAUUAAUGAUUGUUAAACAAUGAUUGAUUUAAAAAAGCUGAAACACAGUGCUCAGUGGAGACCAAAAAAAACAGCAUUUUCUUUGUCAUGGCUUCUGUUUUUUGUCUCUUAACACAGGCGAAUGGAAGGAGAGAUACUUAUUCACCCCCGGAGGCCAAGGACACUGUACCACAGCUGAUCUGUUCCUAAUCACGAAGAUAUCUGCCUUCACCCUUUGGGGAGAGAGAAUAUUAUGAAUUAAUGGAUGCACAUGGGCUCCUUUCAUCACUACCUCAGGACAAAGGGUCCAACAUUGACUGUAUGAUCAAGAGCAGAAUAGAUCUGGAGCCUGCACAACUGGAGAGAUCCAAGUUCUAAUAGCCUGCCAAGAAAAGGCAUAACACGGCCUUCUACCAGAGAACAGACGAUUCAAAAAUGAUGAUAUAUUGGAUAUGGUUCACCCAUGAGGAUUUGAUCACAGUUCACACCAUCCGUCCUGCUUCAGACCAACCCAGCAACGAGAGCCAUGGAGCUCAGCUCUUCCAUAGUACUCCCAGGAUCCAAGCAAGCUGCUGGGCCCUCGAAUCUCAGCUGGAAGAGCCUACUGGAAGCACCCAUGUGGUCACCAAGUGGGCGGGGCAGUGUCACAUAAGAAGCCGUAGACUCUGCAGACAUAAGUCACGGUCCCCCAACACAGAACCUUUGGAGGCGUGGUUGCGUGAUCCAGCUUCCUGUGUGGACAAACGCCAGGGACCCAGAGCCAGUCUUCCUGGGUAAGCUCUGCUUUUUCUGGUUACUCUCAAUGCUGUGUGUCAGGGACGAGGCCAGAGUUGGUCUAGUGCCUGCUUAGAUUGUAAGCACUGAAAGAAGGGCUUUCCAACUGUGACUCCACAGCCUGCAGGGAGGCCAGACACCAUGGCUUCUCCUGGACAGCAUGAGCUCCCUUUGGCAGUGGCUUCUCUGAGUGGAGGGCAUCCCCAAUUUCCAUAGCUCUGGUCAUCACAGAUGACUAGAUAGCAGGCUCCUCUCUGGUAGCUUGAGCUGGGACUUGAGAUAACCUCUGCUCCCCAUCCUGCAGUACUUUUUAAAAUGAUGCAAAGAAGACAGGUGUCAUGGUAUGCACCUGUGAUCCCAGCUCUGGAGAAGGAUUGCUAGUUUCCAGCUUUAGACAGUUGUAUUUUAUGAACUAAAGACUGCCAUGUGGGGCUCUCCUCUAAAAGAUACUAAGCUAAGAAAUCACAUAUUUGAAAAAUAAUAUUUUUUCAUUAAUGAAACAAGUUGUUGUUCAUUGGAAAGACAUGGAAAGUGUUUGGAGGGGAAGGGCAGAACAAAAAAGUUUUAUAGCCACACCACUCAAAGAUAACCACUGCCAACAUAUGGUUAACAGUGUAUGGUUUUUGCUUUAUUCCUGGAAAGAGAGAGAGUGUGUGUGUGUGUUUAAUUGGGUCAUCAUUCCUAUUUUUUCCUCAUCUGCUUAUAUAUCCUAAACUCUGCCCCAUGCCAUUCAGCAAUUUCCCAUCUCUGGUUUUUUUAUUGGUCACAUAGGAGUCUAGCCGUGACUAUAAGUGACUUAAUUGGUCUGUGUGUGUCCAUCUGCAGACAGAUGCAAAGCUGGAUGGUGUAUGUUUGCAGGCUUCUCCACAUGCUAUCUCUUCACAGGUUCUGACCAGUGUCUUGCUGUUCUUUGCACAAGUGAGUGAGUCUGUCAGGAGGCGUGAGCACGUGGCCAAAUUACCAUCUGCAAACUUUUUUUUUUGCCCAUUACAUGUUCAGAAUUAGUUUGAGAAAGUGCCUGCUGCUCUGGGAAUUAUCAGGGUUUUUAACCUUUGCCGCUUUGUCAAAACAUGACAUUUCCCCAUUUCCAUCCCCACAGCUUUUAUCACAGCAGCACAGAACACUUUUCCGCCCUCUUUGUGGGGUAUUUGUAUCUGAAUUGCCAGCUCAAGCUCCUUGCACUUUUCAUGAUUCCUUUAGUUUUUGUGUUUUUUUUUUUUUUUGUCAAGCUCAUGCAUACACAUCAAUUUUAAGAGCCAGAUCCUGCUACAAGACUGUCAGGGAGACGUCAGUCCUCCCACCCUCAUGGCUCCACCCGAAUAUUCUGCAAUACCUGUAACCAUUUAACUGAUUCUCUUGACAUUUACAUCCAUAACGCUAAGUAACACUCUUGGUUUUCUGCUUCUUGAUUUUCCUCCUUUCUGUGCGUCAUUUUUUUUUGAGCUUAGGCAUCGUUUUUGAUUGUUCUAUUGUUGAAGACAAGCCUUUAACUGUCUUUUACAUAUGCCCCUGUCUUCACCCUGCACACACAUCCCUGUGCUACCGUCCUUAUAGAUUAUUUUGAAAUGUUGGUUUGAUUAAUACUCCAAGAGUGUGAGCAUGCUCACAAAACUGGACAAUGCGGCCCUGAGUGUUCAUCCCCUCCCUUCUUCCGGAGAGAAAAAGGGAGGGAGAGAGAGUGUGUGUGUGUGUCUUUCUCAGUGGUCCUUUGGUUUUGUUUUGGCUUGUUUUAAGUGUAGCUCAGGAUAAUACAUACCAGCACAGUUUGUUUAAGACAUGCAUAUCAUGCUGAAAUUUCAUUUUGGAGUCAGGUUUCCUAGUUUCUCAUGAGCUAACUUUAGACUGCUACUACCUUGGUUUUCCCAUCUCCUCCUGGGGACAGGUUCCUUUGGUUUUUUUCUUUCCCUAGUUUUGUCCCUGGUUUUUAUAGAUACUGUGAUAUCUGGUUUUGGGAUUACUCUUAUGUUUUUCUAGAGUUUGAAGAGAAAUGGUUCAUGGGAAAUAACUUUUGGAGACCUUUCAGAUUUGAAUAGGAAAGUGUUCACACUGACACUGGUAAUUCAGCAGCUGAGUAUAAAAUUCUAUGUUAUGGACUUUCCCCUCAGAUUAUCAGAGACAUAUAGACUCAGAAAUGGGAACAAUGGCAAAGAAGACAGCUUAGAAACUCCAGGGAUAAUAAAAUGAGAGAGAGAGACCCUACCAAUAAUAUCACAGAUACAAAAGCCUUGUCUUCUGGCCUAUUGUGAGACACAUUAAGCCCUUGUCAUUCUUCAAUCUUGCAUUUAUUUGUCUGAGAAUGUCAUUGUUCCUAUGUUGAUCUGGAUCUCUGAUUAUCCAUUUUUACUCUUUUGAUCCAAAAAAACCCAUUUGGAUUUAUAAACCAAUUUCCCUCUCCAUUUCCCCUCCCCCAAGUACCUCAAUUGUAUAUUGGACCUCUUUGACUGAUUCUACAAUAUUGCUAAGUGUUCCCUCUAUUCUUAAAUUACUGCCAUAUGCUACCAACCUUUCCUCCCAUUCCUCCCCCUGCCUUUUUUCUCAUCUUCCAUUCAAUUUUGCUCAUGGAGCCUUUUAUUAAAAAUUGUGGGGCUGGAGAGAUGGAUCAGCAGUUAGGAGCUUGCACUUCUUUUAUAGAGGACCAGGGUUUGGUUCCCAGCAUCCAUCCUGGGCAGCUUACAACCAUCCAACCAUGGCUACCUCCAGCUGCAAGGGGAUCUGAUACCCUUCUGGCUUUUAUUUCACCUGCACAUGGAAGCUUGUACAUGCGCAUGAGUGUGUACCCACCCCCCCACUCACACACACUCACACUCACACACAUAUUCACACACACACACACACUCACACUCACACACUACACACACAAAGCUCUCACUCUCCCCCUGGCAUAAAUACUAAAAUAACUCUUAAAAUAGAAAUUGUUAGGUUAUGUAGGAAUAUAUUACUUAGGUUUUUUUUCCUUAUAGUUUCUUCAUUUGUAUUUUAUUUUUGGAUAGAAAGUUAUUUCCCAAAUAAAGCUCAUAUAAAUAGUCAACCUGUUUUUUUUCUAGAAUUUCUGUAAUUUCAUGUUUUAUAUUUUAAUAUUUAACCCAUUAAAUCAUCGCAAAAAUAUCCAAUUUCUACAUUUAUUGCAUUGCAUAUCAUUUUUAAACAUAUGCGUGAGUGUCUCAGCUGCAUGUGUCUGUGCACUAUGUGUGUGCAAUACUGAUGGUAACCAGAAAGGAAAUUGGUUUGCCUGGAACUACAGUUAGAGAUGCUUGUGACCUACCAUUCUGCAAGACAAGCAAGAGCUCUUACUUACUGAGCCAUGUCUCUAGCCCCCCAUAUGUACCUCUAUAGUUUUUACUUCUUGUGUUGACUUUCCCUAGUUCCCUUGACUUAUUAAAAUUUUAGGCCAGCUGGACUUGGUUUUCAUGUAUUAAUGUUACAGUGUAUCAUUGUUCACUGGCAAUAAUCUUCUUUCAUUUUCUCUCUUAUUUUUUCUUGUUAGGCUCAUUUGUUUAUUCUUUCAGGUGGGUUUUAGGAAUACCUAGAAGCUUAAAACACAGUACAUUUUCUGUGUAAUUUUGUAAUGUUCAUUAAAGCCGGGCAUGGUGGUGCAUGCCUGUAAUCCCAGCACUUGGGAGACAAAGGCAGAAUGAUUAUGAGUUCAAGGCCAGACUGGCUGCAGAGGGAAAACCUAUCUCAAAAAACAAAAACAAGCAAACAAAAAUGAACAGACAAAAAAUAAACACUAAAAAUAACUCUUUGCAUGCUAUCUUGCAGUUUUAAAUUUAUAUUUAUAAAUUUGUCAUAUUCACAAUUUGUCAGCAAGAUUAUUUCAAAGAAUGAAUUGUUACCUCUGUUGCAAAUCUGGCCCCUUCUCUUCACAUUUUUGAACUCCUUGUCAGUGGAAUGUUGAAAACUUUUAUAUAUACCUAGUUUCUAUCUGUCUUAUUGAAUUGAUUUGUUUGUUCUACAAACUUUUCAUUGAAUGAUUUAAAAUCUCUAGGUAAAGCCUCUUGUUUCUCCAUAGGCUCUGUAGUUUAUCUCUUCCAUGUUGUCUUGCUGAUGACUUUUUCUUAUCUUAUUGCAUUGGCUACAAAUUCUAAAACAAUUGUUAGUAACGGAAAUCUGUCUUCUGUUUCACUGUCGGGUACAAUUACAAAGAAUUUUUCAGACUAGACUUUUCUUUCUUUUUUAUAUCGCAGUAUUCUUAGUUCAUGUAUGAUUCAGAAGUAGAUUUAGAAUUUUCUGAAAUGCUUUUUUUUUAUGUUUGAGAGAUGUUUGUGUUGCUUCCCUCUGUCAGUAUAAUGAAUGACAAUAAUGUUUGGGGUCAAAUUCUAUUCGACUGUGGUAUGUUGUCUUUUUAAUAAGAUUUGCUUUGCAAGUGUUUAAUUUGGGAUUUUUUCCAAUGUGUUUGUUGUCAGCUUCCAGUGUCAAAGUCACGUCGUCGGCUUUGUAAAAUGAAUCAGGUGUCACUGCAUCUUUUUCUAUAUUCUGUACCAUGUAUAUAAUACAUUUAAAUGGAAAGUUCCAGGAAAACUUGAAUUUGCUGAGAUUAACCUCCUGUCAAGUCUUUCACGAUGCUUUCUGUUUCUUUUGUAUUGACUGGAAUCUUUUAACUUUCUGUAUCUUUAAAAGUUCUGCCUCUUUUCUGAUAUAUCACCGUAGUCAAGCUUUGAGAUAUAUUGAGCUUAAAUUCUUUCUCAUGGAGCUCUUGGGAACACUGUCUCCUUCCUUUGCUUAGUUUCCUGCUUUGUCAAUGGUUAAAAUGAGAGCCUAAAAGGGACCAUUGAGAAGAUAAAGAGAUAAAGUAUGUCAUCAUGUGUCUGUCACAGUGAGCACUCAAUUCUGCUUAGGUGUUACUUUUCCCUGGAGAUAAUCCAUUCUGAGAUUUAAAAUUUUUUAUUGGAAUAGAGUUGCAAAUAAUGUUAUGCUAUAGUGAAUUUUAUAUUUCUAUGAUUAUAGCUCCUCUUCAUUUCAUAUAUGCAUACUUUAUCUCUUUAAUACAUAAUCUAAACAAAUGUCUGUACUGUUUUCUUCAAAAAGUCCAUUCUUGGAAUAACUUUCUCAAUUCAACAUUUUGUGUGAGCAUGUUCACUGAUACCUGCCUUUAUCUUUACAAGUCCCGGCCUUCUGCUUCCCUCGAACUCGUUCAGUCUGUCUAUGUAUCCCCAACUGUUGCUCUUCCUUGAUGAUUGAACUAUUUCAUGAUAUGAAUUUGUCUCUCGUUGCAACUUUGACUUCAUGUCAUAUGCUUCAAUAUGUAGUCUUCUCAGCAACUUUGAAUACUUAUAAUUAUGAUUUCUUUUUGUUCUUAAAUGGUUAUCUAAAUGAAAUGUGAAAAAUAGAUUUCCCUUUAAAACUCACGUCUGCUUUAUUUGGGUUGUGUGUUGUCCGUGAUGCUUUCUGUUCAAAUGUGAUUAUAUUUUAUUGUAGCUAGAGAAUGUGCACGUAAACUCUAUUUUGGGCAAAAUUUUGAUGCCUUUUUAAGCAUGAUAUAAUCAACUUUGUAAAUGUUUCAUUGGCAUUUAAAGCAAGAUGUAAUACUGGUUUAUAGGACAUAGGUUUUGAUGUAAAGAAAUUUAAUCUUGUUAGUUUUCAUUUUUUCCUUUGAAUUUCCUUAGAAAAGGUUUGAAUUUUAUAAAUAACCAGACAUUUAAUCUUAUUCUGGGAGUUUGCAAUAUUUUUCUAUUAUGUUGCUUAGUACUUGGGGUAGGAAAACCCAAUACUGUUUCUGUUAAAUAUGAUGUUGGUUCUGGGUUUGAGGUUUGUCUAUCAUUUGGUCUUUUUGUGUUUCAUUGUGUUUGCCUAGCUGAUGUCCUUCCAACUGAGAGGCUUGGAAAACUGUUUCUAUAAUAUUGAUCUCCGUAUUUUGAUGUCUUAUGUUUUCUGGCGCGAUGUUCAUAGGUGCCAUGCCCCCCCCCCCCCCGUCAUGGAUUGUCCCUCCAUCUUAAACAGGUUUCGUCAACCUGACAUGGAGUCAUAGAAUUACAGUUUUCUUUUGUUUCACUUCCAAAAGUUACAUGACCCUUUUCAUAUAAUUGCUUCUGGAAGCAUCUAUUGAAGGCUACGUGUUAUUUGGAGACUUGCUCUCAGGAACCCACCAAAGCAGUCUCUCAUGCCCCAUGAUGCUUUUCCAUUUUGCUCUUAAAUACACAAUUGAUUGUUUCAAAUUAAAGUCAGAGAUGGGCUGUUUCAAACCUGCCCCGUGACCUCCAUAGUCAUCUACUUUGUGUAUUUACAACAUUAGGGUUCUCAGCAGUUUUUAGCCAUUUUAUUUUUCCAUUUUCAUUUGUUUAUAACAAAAAACAAAAGCAAAAUGUGAUUAAAUAACUUUUUACAAGGGCUGUUAAAACCUUUAUUUGAACCCAGCAGCCCAAUAACUCAAAGAUAAAGCUACCCUGUUUUGAUUGGAGGUGGACAUGUCCCUGAGGGCUGGGUGCUGGGCACAUUU